AAACAGCCAAACCCUAACUUUCCGUGUAACAUUUGACUGUACGUCUUAUAUGAAUUCUUUUUAUAAUUAGUAUUUUUAUUGUUGUUAGAUGAUAAAAUAUGAUUAAUACUUUAUGCGUGAUUUAUCUUUUUAAUUUUUUUAUAUAUUUUUUUCAAAUAAGACAGACGGUCAAAUGUUGGACACGGAAAUCAGGGUUUGUCUUUUU
MicroRNA precursor from Oryza rufipogon (brownbeard rice), 205 nucleotides. It matches the Rfam family "MIR812 microRNA precursor family". The record is from Rfam. NCBI's taxonomy places the organism in Eukaryota, Viridiplantae, Streptophyta, Magnoliopsida, Poales, Poaceae.